UUACUAGUACUUCUUUGUGUUAAUAUUCUUUCCGAUGCCUCAGCAGGUCUGAUGUAUCGGAAGUAUGCGCCUUUAG
Molecule: transfer RNA, 76 nt
Filed under: Corynebacterium pseudotuberculosis
Lineage: Bacteria; Bacillati; Actinomycetota; Actinomycetes; Mycobacteriales; Corynebacteriaceae
Description: tRNA-Val
Source: RNAcentral